GGCUAGGGGUUGAAUCGGAGCUGUAGCCACUGGCCUACGCCAGAGCCACAGCAACGUGGGAUCCGAGCCGCGUCUGCAACCUACACCACAGCUCACGGCAACGCCGGAUUGUUAACCCACUGAGCAAGAGCAGGGACCGAACCAGCAACCUCAUGGUUCCUAGUCGGAUUUGUUAACCACUGCGCCACGACGGGAACUCCCAGCCUUAAUUUUUAAUCAACUUUUUCUUAUAAUAUUACUUUGACCCUUUAUUUCAUAGUUCAUUUUUUUUGAAAUUGCAAAGCUAUGUUCUUCUUAUAUCACUUGAUUGUUGCAUUUAUUUCCUCUCAUAGAGUAUCCUAUUUUGCAUUUUCUGUUUAUUCAUCCUUGAAUAGGAAGUGGUAACAUAUAUAUGGUAUUUUAAUUUUUUUAAAUGGCUGCACCAGCAGCAUAUAGAAAUUCCUGGGCUGGGAUUGAAUCUGAGCUGCAGCUGCCACCUCUGUUGCAACUGUGGCAAUGCUGGAUCCUUUAACCCACUGUGCUGGGCCAGGCAUUGAACCCAAGCCUCCACAGUGAACUGAGGUGCUGCAGUCUGAUUCUUACCCACUGCACCAGAGCAGGGAUUCCAUAUUUUGUUUUUAAAUAAAGUAUAGUUGAUUCACAAUGUUGUGCCAAUUUUUGCUGAACAGCAAGGUGACCAAGUCUCAUAUAUACAGUAUUCAUACACACAUAUAUAUAUACACAUAUACACACAUUCCUUUUCUUAUAUUAUUUCCCAUCAUGGUCUGUCCCAGGAUACUGGAUAUAGUUCCCUGUGGUAUACAGUACGGUCUCACUGCAUAUCCAUUUUAAAUGCAAUAGUUUGCAUCUACUAACCCCAAACUCCCAGUUCAUCCUGCUCUCAUACUUGGCAACCACAAGUCUGUUCUCUGCCUGUGAGUCUGUUUCUGUUCUGUAGAUAGGUCAUUUGUGCUGUAUUUUAGAUCCCACAUAUAAGUGGUAUCAUAUGGUAUUUGCCCUUCUCUUUCUGACUUCACUCAGUAUGAGAAUGUCCAGUUGCAUCCAUUAUAUACGGUAUUUACUUUAAAAUACACUCUUUGGAUUCCCUCUUUGUUCAAACUGCUUUUUAAACAUUGAUCUCAUCAGCUCUGGAGUCCAGCAUUCUACAUAGAAAUUUCAGUGGAGGGUAGGUCACAGGCAACUUUGUGUGAAAAAGCUGUUUGUCUCAAUGAAUUCCUGGCUUUUUCUUGAUGCCUCUUGGACAAGGGGCUGGCUUUUAGUUCAUCAUUCCAAAGCCAAGUUUAGAAUUUUAGUGUAACAGAUCUGACAUCCCUUUUCAGUCCUCCUGUUUGCUCAUUUGACUUGAUGGUAUUGCAAAAUUCAUUUAUAAAUUUUCCAAUUUUAAGCCAUCCUCACAUUCCUGAGAUGAACUCCACUUGAUCAUGGUUGAUUGGUCUUUUAGUAUACUGUUUAAAUCCAUUUUAUGGUAUUGUAUUUACAAAUUUUCCUUCUGUUUUCUGAAAUGAAUUUUGUCUCUGUUUAUUUACUUCUGCUCAUUGCCAUAUUUUGGCUUCAAGAUUUUUCUAGUUUUAUAAAAUGAAUUGAAGUCUUUCAUCUUUUCCUGUGCACCAAAGAAAUUGUUCUUUAAAAAUAUGAAAUGAAUUUUUCUUAAAACUAUCAAAGGAUGUCUGUUUCCAGUUAUUGAAAUAAUUAUUUUUAUAUGAUUUUAAGGUACAUAGACAUGCAGGAGACAGAGGUAUAUAGCUGUAUUUAAAACUAAGAAAGAAAUUCACUGCAUAAUAAUGUUAAGUUGCUGUGUUGAAAUCCUUUGAGUGAUUUUUGAUUUGUUCUUCGUAUUUCUCUAUUUAUUAUGAGUAUGUUAUAACAAAAAGUUAAAAUAUAUUAAUGAAGCUUAUAGAUUCCUGAAUUACUUAACACUUGACUCAGAUGUGCUUUCUGAGCCUUAAAAAUAACUAUUGCCAUCAAUUAAAUUUCAUGUGAUAUUGAAAUACAUGUAUGAAGCAGGGUGCUAAAUUUAUUCUGCAGAACUUGUCACAUAAACAGUUUCUUUUCACAAAAUCAACAAUCAAGAAAACUUCACUAAAAGCCUUUUUACAUAAAAAUAGUUCAUUUAAAACAUGAUGAAUAUUGUUAAAUAUUGUUAAAGUGCCUAUAUUAGAAUAGCUGUGUAAAAUCCAACCUGUUUAUUUGAUGAAUCAUGAAUCUAAAACAUACACUUGCAAUAUAUCAAGAAGAAAAUUGACAUACUUUUUUUUUUUUUUAUCUUUUCUAGGACCGCUCCUGCUAGGAGUCGAAUUGGAGCUGUGGCCACCAGCCUGCGCCAGAGCCACAGCAACUUGGGAUCUGAGCCGUGUCUGCAACCUACACUAUAGCUCAUGGCAACACUGGAUCCUUAACCCACUGAGCAAGGCCAGGGAUCAAACCCACAACCUCAUGGUUCCUAGUUGGAUUCGGUAACCACUGUGCCAUGACAGGAACUCCUGACAUACUUUUUUGAUGGAUAACUUUUAAAGUGUAAGGUUAAGAAGAGAACAGUAUUUUCCCCCACAGAUUUCCUCAAAGGAUAGGUAGACAACUUAGAUGCAAGUUAUUAAUAAAUGUCUCAUUUCACAAGUUGGUUUAUAAAUUUAUUGCAAUCCUAAUCAAAAUCACAACUUAGAUGGAAGUGAAAAGAUUCAAAAAAAGCCUAGAUAUGUAGGAGGGCUUUCCCUAUCAAUUUCAAAAAUUUAUUAAAUGUUACAGUAAUUAAGGCAGUGUACUAUUAGUGCAGAGCUAGAUGUAUCAGAAUAAAGAACAACAAAUAGAUCUAUGCAUAUAUACAUAAUAAAUUCAAGAGUCUUUAGGAACUGAUGCUGGGGCAACUAGAUAACUGUUUGGGAAAAAAUGUUAAUGGACUACACAAAAUCAGUGGGUGCAUAUAGACCUGAAUGGGAAAUAAAAACUAAAAGCUUCUGCAAAAUAGUAUAGAAGUAUAUCUUUAUUAACUUGGAGAUACAGAAGGAUAUUUUAGAUAAGACAAAAAGUCUGUGUUAAGGAAAAUGGUAAAUCCAGAUACAGUAAAAUUCAGUGUUUCUUAUAGUCAGAAAAUAGCAUAAAGAAAUAAAAGCCAAAGAAUGGGAAAAGAUAUUUUAUAAUACAUAUAAUUAAUAAAAGACAAAUAUGGAACAUUUACAGAUAGUCUUUUUUUAAAGAAAACCAAUAAAAAUAUAGACCAAAUAUUUAAAUAGUUACUUGUCAAAAGAAUAAAUCUAAGAGAUCAAUAAAAAUAGGUUAAAAUACUCUGCUUCCAUAGUAAAUCAAAUUUAAGGAAUUCCCUUUGUGGCUCACUGGUUAACGAACCCAAUAGGAUUCAUGAGGAUGUGGGUUCAAUCUCUGGCCUCACUCAGUGGGUUAAGAAUUCAGCAUUGCCGUGAGCUGUGGUGUAGGUCACAGACGUGGCUCGGAUCCAAUGUUGUUGUGGCUCUGGCUUAGUCUGGCAGCUGUAGCUCCAAUUCAGCCCCUAGCCUGGGAACUUUCACAUGCCGUGGGUGUGGCCCUAAAAAACAAACAAAAAAAUUUAAAACCACAAUCACCAGUUGUCAAACAUUUAAAAUGAGGAUGUAGAGCAAUAGGAUUUUUCAUAUGUUGCUGUAUAAUGUGCAAAUUAGUAUAACAACUUUGGGAAACAGUUUAGCAUUUUCUGGUAAAUUUAAUGACAUGCAGACCUUGUAUCUUAGCAAUUGUUUUCCUGGGAGUGCAUCCUAGAGAAAUAUAUGCCCAUAUGUCAGAAGACAUAUAUAGAGAUGUUCCCAGAAGCAUUUUUUGCAAUAGACAAAAACUCAAAAUGACUCAAACCCAUCAAUAGUAAACUGGACAACUAACUUGCAGACUUUUCAUAGAGUGGCCUUUAUAUAAUGGAGUAAUCAAUAAAAUUGAAUGCACUAGAGCAACAUGCAAUAACACAAAUGAAUUUUACAAAUAAAAUGCAAAAUAAAAGACUCCAUUAUAAGAGUUUAAAACGUGAAAAACUAUAUUGUAUCAUUUGGGGAUGCUCCCAUGGGUUAAAGCCAAAAAGAGAAGCCAUGAAGUAAUUAAUGGAAGUUAUAACACUGCUUACCUCCUUGAAGGAAUGAAGGGAUCAUUGUAAGAAGAAAUAGGCAGAAGGUCUUAGGGGAGCAGGAAAUGCUACAUCUGUGACUACAUGCUGAUCACACAGGGCUCAUAUAAUAAAUUUCAUCAUUGAGCCUUCAUGUACUAUUCUGUGUAUAUUUU
This 4251-nucleotide long non-coding RNA is filed under the name Sus scrofa (pig). Its description in RNAcentral is "lncRNA (ENSSSCG00000056552.1)". The record is from RNAcentral. Lineage: Eukaryota; Metazoa; Chordata; Mammalia; Artiodactyla; Suidae.